Long non-coding RNA from Silurus meridionalis, 461 nucleotides. RefSeq lists it as uncharacterized. The record is from RefSeq and is a predicted model, not a curated record. NCBI's taxonomy places the organism in Eukaryota, Metazoa, Chordata, Actinopteri, Siluriformes, Siluridae. The transcript has 3 exons.
GCUCUUACGGGACCUGCGGAGACGCAUUCCGUCAGUGUGUCCUGCUAAGAAAAACGAGACGAAAACACACAAAGCAUCCAUCGUCGUUUAUUUCUUACAAACAUCCAGCCUAAUUGAUCCACUUAAACCUCUUAAUUACUCCAUAAUAAAUUAUAAAAAAUAAUAUACUAUAGUAUUACUAGUCCCUAUUCAUUCUAGCGUGUGCAGAAACAAUUCAUCAGCUUUCCUUUUUGACGAGUCCCCGGUGUCCCGAACGUGUGCUCCUCUACAGGGACAGCCCGUGUGCGUGUUUGGUUAUAAGUAAUACAGUGCAUUAAUAGGAGAAUACACUAAACUGCAAAGAGUGUGUGUCAAGUAAGCAACAAAGGGCAUUACUGAAUUAUUACUGCUAGGUAAGCAUGAUAACCUGUAAGGUGUGUGUGUGUGUGUGUGUGUGUGUGUGUGUGUGUGUGUGUGUAAAU